This 16-nucleotide transfer RNA is filed under the name Lampropeltis zonata agalma. RNAcentral's name for it is "partial tRNA-Thr". RNAcentral also lists the same sequence under 20 other names. The record is from RNAcentral. Lineage: Eukaryota; Metazoa; Chordata; Lepidosauria; Squamata; Colubridae.
GCUCUAGUAGCUUAUC